UUUACUAUGUAAUACUUUCUGAUAUAUAGAGAUGUGACAACUCCCUCACACCCAAAUUCAAUUGAAGAUAUAAAUUAUUAAAGUCCUUGGUAAUAUAGGACCCUUAGAAUGGAAGAAUGGGGGAAGUAAAGCCUAGAACUACCAUGGGAAUGAUAACUACCUAGGCUGCUGGAGAAUAAGAAACCACAUGUAUUGACCUCUCUCAGGUCAUUGAAGAGAAAUGAAACAGUCUCCAGAGCUACUUAACAGCACAUCCAGGCUAGAGGCACAAGGAUCCUUGCACCCCCCAGGGCUCCAGCAAUGUUAUCCACUUCAUGUCUAUCCCUCUCCAGAGACAGAUCACUUUUUGAACAUUUGAGCCUUCUAUCUUCUUCCUUGGCUUUCGUUUUUGUUUUAUGCUUAAG
Non-coding RNA from Microcebus murinus (gray mouse lemur), 404 nucleotides. The record is from RefSeq and is a predicted model, not a curated record. NCBI's taxonomy places the organism in Eukaryota, Metazoa, Chordata, Mammalia, Primates, Cheirogaleidae.